GUUUUAAUGGCAGGCCACUUUCAGGGAUCUGUGCCAGACCAUGAGGCUGUCUCAUUGCACAUUUGUUUGGAGUACUGAACAGCUGCAUCUGUUUGAAAGAGUGCCGAAGCAGACCUUGCAUUGGGACCAUUACUUGCUAUGAAGGUAAAGAAACUGGGGCAUGAGUCUUAGUGGAGUGACUGGAAGUGAAGCUGCUGCUUAGAAGGAACUACUGAGACAGUGUCAGUUCUGAUUGUGGAUAAUUAUGGAGCCAGCACAGACAUUCAAGGAUAAUUCAACAAUGGCCUGAGCAAAAUAUAAGCAGAGAAGUUCCUUUUCAUUUGUGUUGGCUGCAUUUUGUCAUCAUUGGAGAAGAUACAAAAAUGGUAAAGAAGAUACAAAAAUGCUGUCCCUUUUUUCUAUUACACACCGUGGAAGCAGAAGUGUCAAGGAAUGACUACCUCAAACUGUAGUGAGAAUCUCUGUGAGGCUUUUGUUACCAUUGGGAAUCUUGUAUUAAAAGAAAAAAGUUUGGUAAGUUAAGAAUUCACCUUUCUAAUACCAGCCCAGACUUUUGGCUGGUUGGGAAAUUGCUGGACUAUGUCUG
This 586-nucleotide long non-coding RNA is filed under the name Parus major (Great Tit). RNAcentral's name for it is "lncRNA (ENSPMJG00000013607.1)". The record is from RNAcentral. Lineage: Eukaryota; Metazoa; Chordata; Aves; Passeriformes; Paridae.